GUCGAGAGGCUUCGGCAAUGGGGGAAACCCUGACCGAGCGACGCCGCGUGGAGGAUGAAGGCCCUUGGGUUGUAAACUCCUUUUGUUGGGGAAGAAAUGCGACCAGGUGAACAAUCUGGUCGUUUGACGGUACCCGACGAAUAAGCUCCGGCUAACUCCGUGCCAGCAGCCGCGGUAACACGGGGGGAGCUAGCGUUGUUCGGAAUCACUGGGCGUAAAGGGCGUGUAGGCGGUCAGAUAAGUGGGAUGUGAAAUCCCUCGGCUCACCCGAGGACCUGCAUCCCAAACUGUCUGGCUUGAGUACGGGAGAGGAUGGAGGAAUUCCUGGUGUAGCGGUGAAAUGCGUAGAUAUCAGGAGGAACACCGGUGGCGAAGGCGUCCAUCUGGCCCGAUACUGACGCUGAGGCGCGAAAGCUAGGGGAGCAAACGGGAUUAGAAACCCGAGUAGUCC
This 451-nucleotide ribosomal RNA is filed under the name uncultured bacterium. Its description in RNAcentral is "bacterial SSU rRNA". It matches the Rfam family "Bacterial small subunit ribosomal RNA", at positions 354 to 796 of the family's 1533-position model. The record is from RNAcentral.